CUGAGGUAACUGGUAUCCUGGCCCCAUGUUGGCACCUAGCACUAAACAUCUGAGCUUAAAGUGCCUUUUCCCAAGAGCCUUCAAAGCUUUUGCAACUCUCUUGAUCCCUUGGAAUUGUUGGCGGGUCUCCAGGUCAAGGACUACACUUCCCAUAAGGCACUGGGGCGCAGCUCUGAGAGCGGCCAGCUUGCGAUGCUCCAGGGCCUACUGGGAGUUGUAGUGCAGCUGUAUCUUUAAGGCACCUUCGUUGUCCCGCAGUACGGAACCAGUGCCCACGAUUGGAUGCUUCGUGUGUGACGUUAGGGAGGUUGUGCCCUACCUGGUUGGAUCCGCUGACGUGCAGCAUCCAGUUCAGCGUCCUCGCCUCCCAGAGACUCAAGAGAAGUGCAAUAGGGAAAGGUCGUUCCAGACUGCUGGCUCUCUGGCACCCUCACGUGGAAGUUACACUCCAAAGCCUUAAGGGCGGGACCCAUGUAAUUUGGACCCCACCUCAGUUCAGCUGCUCCGCGUCCUGGUGUUCAAGAGAGAACCUUGGCUUCUUCUCGAUCUCCGUUCUCAGGCCGGAUCCCCGGUGCUCUUCAUGUCUUUUUUUUUUUUUUUUCCGUCUCUCUCUCCUUGCUGCAAUUUUGAAAUAAAAUGCCAAAGAACAAGA
This 652-nucleotide long non-coding RNA is filed under the name Rattus norvegicus (Norway rat). Its description in RNAcentral is "long non-coding RNA NONRATT000703". The record is from RNAcentral. Lineage: Eukaryota; Metazoa; Chordata; Mammalia; Rodentia; Muridae.